GUUUUAAUCUCGUUUCCUUCUCCUACUUCAUUAACCUGCCCUCUCCACUCUAGUUAAGAUUACAAAAAGUAUAAAGGGAUCAACUUUUAGUGUGUGAAAUAAUUUUUAUUGAAAUAUCAACAGUCAACACAACCAUCAUGUCUAAACAUCCCGCAGGUUACUAUGGGGACUAUAACCCAGAUUUGGUUGUUAACCACGCUGGGUUAACCGAAGAGGAGGUGGACCACCUCCUCACCCAAAUUCCCGCGGGCACCUUCGAGUGGGUUUCCCUUAUUAACAUCUAUCUGCGACUGGAACCGCCCCCAUCCCUUGGAGGUUAUUUUGAUAUUUUUACCGUGGGGCGCUUGACCGCCGCGAUAGACACCGAUGAGGAGCGGGGUAUAAUUGACAUUUGGGUAUGGGUACAUUAAACCUCAUACAUGUUGGAUCGUUUUAUGAUGUUCAUAGCGUUUUUUAUGAUGUUCAUAGCGUUAGGUUUGGCUUAAAAACUGCAAUUAAAAAUUUAUUUAGGUGUAUGACUUUUUUAGUUUAAGUAUGUAGUUUGUUUUAUGUAUAAUAAAAAAUAAUAUUCAUUCUGAUUAUUUUUGUGAUCUUAUUUCCUGUCUAACGUUUUUUUCUUGUAAAUUUAUGAAUCAAAAAUUUUAUAAAUAUCCAGUUGUAUUUGAUUAUUAAUUUAUCGUUACAAUCAUUUUCCCCAAAAAAUUUAUAUCCAAUAGUUUACAAACAAUAUAUACAUUUCUAAUAGUUAAAACACAUUUAUACAUCUUUUAUAAAAAAAGUGGAUUUGUUUAAUUGAAAUAGGUAAAAAUUCAUAUCCAAAACCUUAAUUAAUUACUGGGCGGUUAACAUUUUUUACCAAAAGAUUUUGAAGAAUUUACAACAAUUUAUCAUAAACCCUCAACAGAUGAUAUAGUAAUUAUUGUAAAAGCUGAAGUUUAUAUUUUUUUCAUUAUCUACUUUUAGAUUUAAAACUAAUUAUCCGAAAUCUAUAAGCGAAGAAUUUAAAAUAUCAAGUCCAAUUUCGGCAGCGAUAACAACUUACUCAGGUGGUAUUUAUCUUUUUCUCAGAGAUAAUACAUAUAUUACAUUAUCUAGUUGCAUCUCUGGAUAUAAUGUUCCUGGUUUAACAAACGAAUUAUUUGAAGGUGUUCCUAAUAAAAUAACAAGGACAUUUAGAUAUUUAAACGGAAAGCUGUACUUUUUUAAUGAAAAUAAUUACUUUGAAUAUGAUGAGUUUACUAAGAGUGUCAUACAAGCGGGACCUAAAACUUUAUCUAUAUUUAACAUUAAUUGUCCGCGAGAACCCAUCUUAAUUCAAUUGAAAAAAUUAUCUUUUAAAAAGAUUAUUACACACAAUGCAGUCCUGGUUGAAAAUUUAACAGAUUAUACUCGUGAAGAAGAUAGUUGGUGUAGUUGGUGUAUUCAUCAGUGUUUGUUUACAGUAAGUUUAUAUUACAACUUAAUAAAACGUUCUUUCUAAACAUCUAAUUUAAACAUCUAAUUUCAGCUUCAGACCUACAAAAGUUGUGCCAAAAAGACGCAUCGUAAGUUUAUCGAAAAUAUUGACUUCGGCACAAGUUCUUCAUCCACAAAUUCUUCCGAUUCAGACUACUGAAUUCUUCUCUAAAACCAACAUAAAUAAUCUUUUUUUGGUAAAUUCUUUAAUUUUUUAAAUUUGUUUACCACAUUUGAUUGCUAAAAAUGUGUUUAAUUUUUUAGGAAAAUUUUUAUCAAAUUUUUAUCAAACAAAAAGUGCGUCACAAAAUUCCUACGAUAAGGAAAGCGUGUUAUCUGUUAACCGCAAAAAUUGAUUAUAAAAGUUCCGUUUUUUACACAUUUCACCAGUUUUAUUAAAACUAUCUUUGUGAGAAGUUGUAUGUGCUCCGCUGUGUAUUUUUGCAUUUAAAUUUCAAAGGAUUCUGUAAUGGCUGAUCAACUAUUAAAUCUGAAUAAAAUUGCUGCCUGUGAAUAUACUGAUACAUAUGUCAGUGCCAACGAUUUGGAAGUGAACAAGAAAUAUAAAAUCAUCAAUUUAACCAAGGCAAACACACAACAUGGGGUUAUGAUGGUAGCAUAUCUGGACAACGUCGGUAAAGUUUUUUUACCUAAACGACUAACAGCAGUUAUGAAUGAUACCAUAAUUACGACACUAAUGGAAGGACUCGGAUCUUAUUUGAUUUAUAUGGGACGUAAGCAAGCUAAUGGAAAUCAGGAACAUGAUGCCCACAUUUUUAAUUUCGAACGUAUUGUUCACGAAGAUUAAUGUAAAAUUUUUUGGUUUCCAAAAUAGACAGCACUAUCCACUCUACCUACCUGAGGUUCGACUCCCCAUGGAAGGAACAACAACAACAACAACUUUUUUUGCAUUAUAUUUUAAACAAAUAACAAAAUAAACUUGGUGCGCAACAGACAAGUUAGGCAAACAACAUUACAAAAAUAAAAAACUACAUAUACUA
Long non-coding RNA from Tribolium castaneum (red flour beetle), 2456 nucleotides. RefSeq lists it as uncharacterized. The transcript is spliced from 4 exons. The record is from RefSeq and is a predicted model, not a curated record. Lineage: Eukaryota; Metazoa; Arthropoda; Insecta; Coleoptera; Tenebrionidae.